GGCGCCUUACCUGGAAACAGCUGGUCCAGAUCCUGAACCUCUGCGGGUCGGGCGGGCGGCCAGCCUCCCCCUGCAGACUCCUGUCCCAGAGAGUCACAUGGAAGACUUCCUCACGGCAUUCAGGGCUCGGCGCCAAUGUCACCCCUCAGCAAAGCUCUCUCUGCGCGCUUCCCAUCUACGGCAAGCUGCACGCCUCCUCCCUCACGGACUGGCUGUGUCACUACCCUGGCGCUGUCUUCCUGGAACCUCACACCAUCCGCCGUGAUCGGGUUUGGUCACGUGUGCUUCUGGCCGUCGGCCGCCUCCCAGGCCCACUGGCCUGCAGAGGCACCAGCCCAGCACCGGGGGCUGCAAACCCCAGUUCCAGGAGCCCCAGAGGCCCCCACAGGAACCCCCGGGGGUAAGUGCACCCUGGGACGCAGACUUGGAUGUUGGGUGAGGAACGGGGAAG
Hyaena hyaena (striped hyena) is the source of this 451-nucleotide long non-coding RNA. RefSeq lists it as uncharacterized. The transcript has 3 exons. The record is from RefSeq and is a predicted model, not a curated record. Lineage: Eukaryota; Metazoa; Chordata; Mammalia; Carnivora; Hyaenidae.